This 500-nucleotide ribosomal RNA is filed under the name uncultured bacterium. RNAcentral's name for it is "partial 16S ribosomal RNA". It matches the Rfam family "Bacterial small subunit ribosomal RNA", at positions 28 to 523 of the family's 1533-position model. The record is from RNAcentral.
GACGAACGCUGGCGGCGUGCCUAAUACAUGCAAGUCGAGCGAGACUCUUCGGAGUCUAGCGGCGGACGGGUGAGUAACACAUGGGCAACCUGCCUGUAAGACUGGGAUAACACCGGGAAACCGGUGCUAAUACCGGAUAAUCCUUUUCCUCUCAUGAGGAAAAGCUGAAAGUCGGUUUCGGCUGACACUUACAGAUGGGCCCGCGGCGCAUUAGCUAGUUGGUGAGGUAACGGCUCACCAAGGCGACGAUGCGGAGCCGACCUGAGAGGGUGACCGGCAAGAAUAGGACUGAGACACGGCCCAGACUCCUACGGGAGGCAGCAGUAGGGAAGUUUCCACAAUGGACGAAAGUCUGAGGGAGCAAAGCCGCGUGAGCGAUGAAGGCCUUCGGGUCGUAAAGCUCUGUUGUUAGGGAAGAACAAGUACCGGAGUAACUGCCGGUACCUUGACGGUACCUAACCAGAAAGCCACGGCUAACUACGUGCCAGCAGCCGCAGUAA